RNAcentral lists this ribosomal RNA (460 nucleotides) under uncultured bacterium. RNAcentral describes it as "partial 16S ribosomal RNA". It matches the Rfam family "Bacterial small subunit ribosomal RNA", at positions 338 to 795 of the family's 1533-position model. The record is from RNAcentral.
CCUACGGGAGGCAGCAGUGAGGAAUAUUGGUCAAUGGACGCAAGUCUGAACCAGCCAUGCCGCGUGCAGGAAGACGGCUCUAUGAGUUGUAAACUGCUUUUGUACGAGGGUAAAUCCCGAUACGUGUAUCGGGUUGAAAGUAUCGUACGAAUAAGGAUCGGCUAACUCCGUGCCAGCAGCCACGGUCAUACGGAGGAUUCAAGCGUUAUCCGGAUUUAUUGGGUUUAAAGGGUGCGUAGGCGGUUCGAUAAGUUAGAGGUGAAAGCCCGGGGCUCAACUCCGGCACUGCCUCUGAUACUGUCGGGCUAGAUUUUAGUUGCGGUAGGCGGAAUGUAUGGUGUAGCGGUGAAAUGCAUAGAGAUCAUACAGAACACCGAUUGCGAAGGCAGCUUACCAAACUACGACUGACGUUGAGGCACGAAAGCGUGGGGAGCAAACAGGAUUAGAUACCCCAGUAGUC